This 602-nucleotide long non-coding RNA is filed under the name Sinocyclocheilus anshuiensis. Its description in RNAcentral is "lncRNA (ENSSANG00000015801.1)". The record is from RNAcentral. Lineage: Eukaryota; Metazoa; Chordata; Actinopteri; Cypriniformes; Cyprinidae.
CCGGCCAGACGCAGCACAGCAGCGGCGCUCACACUGACCUGUUUAUUCACAUGGUGGAUAUGAACUGAAGGCCGGGUUCUCCAGUCUCACUGCCCGUUUACUCUCAAGCCGUCCACAAACUCCUCCUCCUGCUGCUGCCUGUCAGGGGGUGUGGUUACACUGGCCCCGCCCUCAGUUUCGGGCUUGACAGGCCCCACCCCCAAUGUCCCGUCGGUGCUGUCGGUCUGGGCCUCUUCCUCCUCGUCCUGCGUCUCCUCCUCGCCUCCAUCCUGUGGGAUAUCGGGGCCUUCGGCAUCCAGUGGGCUGACUGUGUGAUUUCACCAACCUGCCACCAGUUCCAGUUUCUCUCCGGGGUCUCCCUCCGUGUAGAGUUUGGGAUGGCAUCGGUAGCCGAUCUGACUGAUGAGACUAGCGGGCAGAGCCACCAGAUCCCUGCGGAUCAGCACACACGAGCGGUUCUCCAGCGACACUGGCAUGACCGCCAUCUCCGGCUUCUCUGCCACUGGAAGAAACGGAGUGCCGAAAACAUUCAGAACCUCUGAUACGGCCUCAAAUCACGACAAGUCAUGCUGUGAAAUCGAUCCUGAAGUUUGAGAACUCGA